GUAACAUGUAGUACUACAGAGGUGAGUACAGAUGUAACAUGUAGUACUACAGAGGUGAGUACAGAUGUAACAUGUAGUACUACAGAGGUGAGUACAGAUGUAACAUGUACUACAGAGGUGAGUAGAGAUGUAACAUGUAGUACUACAAAGGUGAGUAGAGAUGUUACAUGUAGUACUACAGAGGUGAGAUUAGAUGUAACAUGUACAACAGAGGUGAGUACAAAUGUAACAUGUAGUACUACAGAGGUGAUUACAGAUGUAACAUGUAGUACUACUGAGAUGUGAUGUAACAUGUAGUACUACAGAGGUGAGUACAGAUGUAACAUGUACUAGAGAGGUGAAUACAGAUGUAACAUGUAGUACUACAGAGGUGAGUACAGAUGUAACAUGUAGUACUACAGAGAUGAUAUGAGAUGUAACAUGUAGUACUACAGAGGUGAGAUGAGAUGUUACAUGUACGACAGAGGUGAGUACAGAUGUAACAUGUAGUACUACAGAGGUGAGAUGAGAUGUAACAUGUAUGACAGAGGUGAGAUGAGUUGUAACAUGUAGUACUACAGAGGUGAAUACAGAUGUAACAUGUAGUACUACAGAGGUGAGAUGUGAUGUAACAUGUACUACAGAGGUGAGAUGUGAUGUAACAUGUAGUACUACAGAGGUGAAUACAGAUGUAACAUGUAGUACUACAGAGGUGAG
Haliotis rubra (blacklip abalone) is the source of this 696-nucleotide long non-coding RNA. RefSeq lists it as uncharacterized. The transcript is spliced from 3 exons. Lineage: Eukaryota; Metazoa; Mollusca; Gastropoda; Lepetellida; Haliotidae. The record is from RefSeq and is a predicted model, not a curated record.